GCCGAACCCUGGCGGCGUGCUUAACACAUGCAAGUCGAACGGUAAGGCCCUUCGGGGUCCACGAGUGGCGAACGGGGGAGUAACACGUGGGUGAUCUGCCCUGCACUUCUGGCCAAGCCUGGGCAACUGGGGCUAAUACCGGAUAGGACCCUGGGAUGCAAGUCCCGGGGUGGCGAGCCUUUGCGGUGGGGGAUGGGCCCGCGGCCUAUCAGCUUGUUGGUGGGGUGAUGGCCUACCAAGGCGACGACGGGUAGCCGGCCUGAGAGGGUGACCGGCCACACUGGGACUGAGAUACGGCCCAGACUCCUACGGGAGGCAGCAGUGGGGAAUAUUGCACAAUGGGCGCAAGCCUGAUGCAGCAACGCCGCGUGAGGGAUGACGGCCUUCGGGUUGUAAACCUCUUUUAGUAGGGAAGAAGCGAAAGUGACGGUACCUGCAGAAAAAGCACCGGCUAACUACGUGCCAGCAGCCGCAGUAA
This 478-nucleotide ribosomal RNA is filed under the name uncultured bacterium. RNAcentral describes it as "partial 16S ribosomal RNA". It matches the Rfam family "Bacterial small subunit ribosomal RNA", at positions 30 to 523 of the family's 1533-position model. The record is from RNAcentral.